Molecule: ribosomal RNA, 254 nt
Filed under: uncultured Pseudomonas sp.
Lineage: Bacteria; Pseudomonadati; Pseudomonadota; Gammaproteobacteria; Pseudomonadales; Pseudomonadaceae
Description: partial 16S ribosomal RNA
Rfam family: Bacterial small subunit ribosomal RNA
Source: RNAcentral
CGGACGGGUGAGGAAUACAUCGGAAUCUACCCUGUCGUGGGGGAUAACGUAGGGAAACUUACGCUAAUACCGCAUACGUCCUACGGGAGAAAGCAGGGGACCUUCGGGCCUUGCGCUAUCAGAUGAGCCUAGGUCGGAUUAGCUAGUUGGUGAGGUAAUGGCUCACCAAGGCGACGAUCCGUAACUGGUCUGAGAGGAUGAUCAGUCACACUGGAACUGAGACACGGUCCAGACUCCUACGGGAGGCAGCAGCU